GGGGAAUAUUGGACAAUGGGCGCAAGCCUGAUCCAGCCAUGCCGCGUGAGGGAAGAAGGUUUUCGGAUUGUAAACCUCUGUCCUUGGUGACGAAACAAAUGACGGUAGCCAAGGAGGAAGCCCCGGCUAACUACGUGCCAGCAGCCGCGGUAAUACGUAGGGGGCGAGCGUUGUCCGGAAUUACUGGGCGUAAAGGGUGCGUAGGCGGUUGAUUAAGUUGGAUGUGAAAUACCCGGGCUUAACCUGGGGGGUGCAUUCAAAACUGGUCGACUAGAGUAUGGGAGAGGGAAGCGGAAUUCCUAGUGUAGCGGUGAAAUGCGUAGAUAUUAGGAGGAACACCAGUGGCGAAGGCGGCUUUCUGGACCAUAACUGACGCUGAAGCACGAAAGCGUGGGGAGCAAACA
Molecule: ribosomal RNA, 404 nt
Filed under: uncultured bacterium
Lineage: Bacteria
Description: bacterial SSU rRNA
Rfam family: Bacterial small subunit ribosomal RNA
Source: RNAcentral